CAGUCGCCGCGGUAAUACAGAGGGUGCGAGCGUUAAUCGGAUUUACUGGGCGUAAAGCGUGCGUAGGCGGCUUCUUAAGUCGGAUGUGAAAUCCCUGAGCUUAACUUAGGAAUUGCAUUCGAUACUGGGAAGCUAGAGUAUGGGAGAGGAUGGUAGAAUUCCAGGUGUAUCGGUGAAAUGCGUAGAGAUCUGGAGGAAUACCGAUGGCGAAGGCAGCCAUCUGGCCUAAUACUGACGCUGAGGUACGAAAGCAUGGGGAGCAAACAGGAUUAGAUACCCCCGUAGUCCCUGUCUCUUAUAC
This 301-nucleotide ribosomal RNA is filed under the name uncultured bacterium. RNAcentral describes it as "partial 16S ribosomal RNA". It matches the Rfam family "Bacterial small subunit ribosomal RNA", at positions 509 to 807 of the family's 1533-position model. The record is from RNAcentral.